UUUGUUACGGUAACGAUAAUUUCGCCAGAGGUGCAUACUGCCCUUAAUUCGGAAAAUAAUUCUUAUUAAGCUGAGACAUUUAUGUCGCCAAUGAAAAAUAGCUGUGUAGAAUACAAGAUGGCGACAAAAACAUCGAUUUAUUAUUUCGGCCGAAUUUUAAUCAUUUUUGGCUAAUUAAGUAAAUAUAUGCUGAAAUUAAUCGUUUUUAUUUGCAAAUAACUUUAUUGGAUGUUGCAUGGAGCUAUUAAAACAUACAUUUCCAUUCGUUGUUGCAUGAAAAAAUUCAUCAAUGCCUAUUAUGUCAUCCUGUUACGCAAAUAAAAUUUCAUUUGAGCUGCGUACCUGCAAGCGAAAUUUUUGGUAACGGUACCGUUAACGAAAAUUUCCUUUAGGAUAUGUUAAUUCAUUUCUUAUGAUUACGAAAAUUUCGCCAGAGAGUUUGCAAAUAAGAUGCAUGGCUGUAUAGCACACGACAUGGACUGCGACAUUUCCUAUCAAACGUACCAUUAAUUUUAAGUCUAAUUUCCUUGCUUUCAUUUGCCUGUCACGUUUUUAAGCUUUUUUCAAAUUUUCCCAUUUUUGUUAGUAAACAAGAACUUUAAAGUUGAAUCUUAAUAAAAAUUGUAGAAUAGUUAUGAA
Stomoxys calcitrans (stable fly) is the source of this 639-nucleotide long non-coding RNA. RefSeq lists it as uncharacterized. Lineage: Eukaryota; Metazoa; Arthropoda; Insecta; Diptera; Muscidae. The transcript has 2 exons. The record is from RefSeq and is a predicted model, not a curated record.